UCUUUUACGUGCCGUGUAAAACUUGAGGG
RNAcentral lists this non-coding RNA (29 nucleotides) under Rattus norvegicus (Norway rat). Lineage: Eukaryota; Metazoa; Chordata; Mammalia; Rodentia; Muridae. The record is from RNAcentral.